UGUAGUCUGCAACUCGACUACAUGAAGCUGGAAUCGCUAGUAAUCGCAGAUCAGAAUGCUGCGGUGAAUACGUUCCCGGGUCUUGUACACACCGCCCGUCACACCAUGGGAGUCGGAAAUGCCCGAAGCCGGUGACCCAACCAAAAGGAGGGAGCCGUCGAAGGCAGGUCUGAUAACUGGGGUGAAGUCGUAACAAGGUAAC
This 202-nucleotide ribosomal RNA is filed under the name uncultured bacterium. RNAcentral's name for it is "partial 16S ribosomal RNA". It matches the Rfam family "Bacterial small subunit ribosomal RNA", at positions 1299 to 1500 of the family's 1533-position model. The record is from RNAcentral.